Molecule: ribosomal RNA, 420 nt
Filed under: bacterium
Lineage: Bacteria
Description: partial 16S ribosomal RNA
Rfam family: Bacterial small subunit ribosomal RNA
Source: RNAcentral
UGGGGGAUAUUGCACAAUGGGCGAAAGCCUGAUGCAGCGACGCCGCGUGGGGGAUGAAGGCUUUCGGGUUGUAAACCUCUUUCGCUAUCGAACAAGGCCCGCUUAGGGUGGGUUGAGGGUAGGUGGAGAAGAAGCGCCGGCUAACUACGUGCCAGCAGCCGCGGUAAUACGUAGGGCGCGAGCGUUGUCCGGAAUUAUUGGGCGUAAAGGGCUUGUAGGCGGCUUGUUGCGCCUGCUGUGAAAACGCGGGGCUUAACUUCGCGCGUGCAGUGGGUACGGGCAGGCUUGAGUGUGGUAGGGGUGUCUGGAAUUCCAGGUGUAGCGGUGGAAUGCGCAGAUAUCUGGAGGAACACCGAUGGCGAAGGCAGGUCACUGGGCCAUUACUGACGCUGAGGAGCGAAAGCAUGGGUAGCGAACAGG